GUCCAUGCCGUAAACGAUGUCUACUAGCCGUUGGGGUCUUUGAGACUUUAGUGGCGCAGCUAACGCGAUAAGUAGACCGCCUGGGGAGUACGGUCGCAAGACUAAAACUCAAAUGAAUUGACGGGGGCCCGCACAAGCGGUGGAGCAUGUGGUUUAAUUCGAUGCAACGCGAAGAACCUUACCUGGUCUUGACAUAGUAAGAACUUUCCAGAGAUGGAUUGGUGCCUUCGGGAACUUACAUACAGGUGCUGCAUGGCUGUCGU
RNAcentral lists this ribosomal RNA (263 nucleotides) under uncultured bacterium. RNAcentral's name for it is "partial 16S ribosomal RNA". It matches the Rfam family "Bacterial small subunit ribosomal RNA", at positions 793 to 1055 of the family's 1533-position model. The record is from RNAcentral.